UGAGUACGAGAUGCUACGGCAUCGAAGCAGUCUAUGUCAUACUUCCGAGAAAAGCUUGCAAUGUCAUAAACAAAUAAUGCCUGUACCAUAACCGACACAGGUGGGUAGGUAGAGUAUACUAAGGGGCGCGAGAUAACUCUCUCUAAGGAACUCGGCAAAAUGACUCCGUAACUUCGGGAGAAGGAGUGCCUUAUUUUUAUAAGGUUGCAAUAACAAGAUCCAAGCAACUGUUUACCAAAAACACAGGUCUCCGCUAAGUCGUAAGACGAUGUAUGGGGGCUGACGCCUGCCCAGUGCCAGAAGGUUAAAGAAGUUGGUUAGCAUUAGCGAAGCUGAUAACUGAAGCCCUGGUGAACGGCGGCCGUAACUAUAACGGUCCUAAGGUAGCGAAAUUCCUUGUCGGGUAAGUUCCGACCCGCACGAAAGGCGUAAUGAUUUGGAUACUGUCUCGGAGAGGGGCUCGGUGAAAUAGACUUGUCUGUGAAGAUGCGGACUACCUGCACCUGGACAGAAAGACCCUAUGAAGCUUUACUGUAACUUGAGAUUGAAAUUGGACUUUAUCUGCGCAGUAUAGGUGGGAGACGUUGAAAAUAUUCUUGCGGGAAUAUUGGAGUCAUCAGUGAGAUACCACUCUUAUAAUGUUAGAUUUCUAACUUUGUAUCAUUAUCUGGUCAAAGAACAGUUUCAGGCGGGCAGUUUGACUGGGGCGGUCGCCUCCCAAACGGUAACGGAGGCGCACAAAGGUUUCCUCUGAACGUGUAGAAAUCGUAUCUAGAGUGUAAAGGCAUAAGGAAGCUUGACUGUGAGACCUACAAGUCGAGCAGGGACGAAAGUCGGUCUUAGUGAUCUGACGGUGCUGAGUGGAAAGGCCGUCACUCAACGGAUAAAAGUUACUCUAAGGAUAACAGGCUGAUCUCCCCCAAGAGUUCACAUCGACGGGGAGGUUUGGCACCUCGAUGUCGGCUCAUCGCAUCCUGGGGCGGUAGUACGUCCCAAGGGUUGGGCUGUUCGCCCAUGAAAGCGGUACGCGAGCUGGGUUCAGAACGUCGUGAGACAGUUCGGUCCAUAUCCGGUGUAGGCGUUAGAAUAUUGAGAGGAGCCUUCUUUAGUACGAGAGGACCGAGAAGGACAUACCUCUGGUGUACCAGUUAUCGUGCCAACGGUAAACGCUGGGUAGCCAUGUAUGGAGAGGAUAACCGCUGAAAGCAUCUAAGUGGGAAGCCCACCUCAAGAUAAGUAUUCUCAAAAGA
RNAcentral lists this ribosomal RNA (1250 nucleotides) under metagenome. RNAcentral's name for it is "bacterial LSU rRNA". It matches the Rfam family "Bacterial large subunit ribosomal RNA", at positions 1564 to 2821 of the family's 2925-position model. The record is from RNAcentral.